Long non-coding RNA from Ictalurus furcatus (blue catfish), 2155 nucleotides. RefSeq lists it as uncharacterized. Lineage: Eukaryota; Metazoa; Chordata; Actinopteri; Siluriformes; Ictaluridae. The transcript is spliced from 3 exons. The record is from RefSeq and is a predicted model, not a curated record.
CAGUUAUUAUUUAUAUACAGUGGGCAAACAGAAGCAGUGAGUAGUUCAAGUCCACACCACCAAACAGUGAUUUUCUCCGACUGGUGUAACGGUAUGAUUGUGUGUGCUGUCAGUGAUGUAGGUGGUGGGCAAUAAAUGUCAUUUUGUCGCCUGUAAAGUGCCUUCUCCCUAUAGAACACGCCAUCGUCGCUCUCACACCAGUCCCACUGCCUGAUCCGUCAGCAUCAUUCCACCAGUUAUUACCGUGACAGCGUCAUUGUGCUUAGUUGACUUUUCUCUGAUUGAAUUGCCCAUUUCGGUCUCUAAGGGAGGUGUAAUGUAUUGACGGUUUUCCAAGGUUAUUCCCGGGUGCUCGUAGAGUUUAAGUCAAUACUGUUUGCUAUAUGAUGUGUGGCGUGGAGUAAGGUGUUUUGCUUCGAAUAUAACUAGAUAAAAGUUGAUAUGACAAAAUUCUUUAAAGACCUUAUUAAGUUUCCUCCAACCUUCUUGUGUUUUGGAUGGAUGUUUUGUUGAAAUAUUUUGAAAAAUUACAUCCAAACUAAAAGAACCUGGAUUUUCACAAGUCUGAAUUGAGUUAUUGAAUUCAACUCCGCUGUGAAUGAAGCUCUGAAUCUCCAUAAUUUGACCUCACAGAUCAUUUGAACUUUUUCAGAGGAAAGAAUUUGUAGUGAUGAUGAUCAGUGGGUCUGAUCACACACUUUGGGAAGGCAUAAAUAACUGGAACUGAUUUUCUCUCGUGCCUGCCUCAUCCUAAUACCUUCAGCCAUCCAUUCAUCCAUUUCCCGCUUAUCCUACACAGGGUCACAGAGGAGCUUGGAGUCUAUCCCAGGCGUUGGACAUCCUGGACAGGGUGCCAAUCCAUCGUAGGGCACAAUCACACACACCGACAAUUUGGGAAUGCCAAUCAGCAUACAAUGCAUGUCUUUGGACUGGGGGAGGAAACUGGAGUACCUGGAGGAAACCCCCAAAGCACGGGGCAAACACGCAAACUCCACACAUACAAGGCGGAGCAGCAGUUCUUGAGUACAAAUCAACAAUAUCCUGAUGGCUUGAUAAGACUUCUGGAACUUAGUUCUCCAAGAACAUUUACUUUCGCUGUUGUGACGUUGGACAAGAGUCAAUUUCACUUCUGAGGGACGGCUGCGAGAGGGCCCGCGAGCCGAGCCAGAUCAUCAGAUGAAAAAUGAGGUGUUGUGAUGACCAAUCCUCCAUUCAAGGUUCUGCUUUCUCUUUUUCGAGCACCACGGACCAAAAUCCAUUUCUCCAUCACUGUCAGAGACAAUACUCAUCGGACAGGUUAAUCAGUACUUCAUCUUGGAGAAUAUCAAGAGACGCCAUCGAUUGAGAGAUAUCAUAUAUUCCCGAAAUGCGGUUAUCUCCUGUGAACCAGUCGAUAUUUAAACCCAGCUCUGGGGUAACUACUACACUGGGCUACUAAGCUAUGCAUUCUUGGCCUUCUUUAAAAGUGUAGUUAGCUAUACUUCAGUCCUAUGUAUCUCUAAGGGAACAGUAAUUUCUUCUACUAUAUAGAACCUACCUUUAUUAAUGAUGUCAAUUCUUCUGAUAAUUGCAAUUGAUGAUCCAAAUGGUAAAUGGUCUGCACUUAUAUAGCGCUUUUAUCCAAAGCGCUUUACACUGUGUCUCAUUCACCCACGCACUCACACACCAAUGGUAGCAGAGCUGCCAUGCAAGGCGCUAUCUUGCCAUCGGGAGCAACUUGGUGGUCAGUGUCUUGCCCGAUGACACUUCGGCAUGUAGAGUCACGUGGGCUCGGAAUCGAACCACCAACCCUACGAUUAGUGGACGACCCGCUCUACCACCUGAGCCACAGCCGCCCUCCAUGAAAGUAUAUCAUGCUCCGAAAAGCUCAUUGUGUCACACUGUUCAAAAAUGAAAACCAAAUGAACAAAAGUGCAUAUGCGAAGUGCAAAGACGUUCAACAUUCUGAAGGUUGUGUCCAGAAAAGUAUAUAUCAGACACUUCAAUAUCCUGUGGUGUGUCAUUUGUGUCUGAAUAAUUCACACUCCAAGAUAUAAACCAAUGUGAAAUAAACCAGAUGGGUCACAAAUUUCCCUACAUUUCCCAUAGCAAGGAAUGCCUUGUGCUUGUGUUUUGCUCCUAGACCCUUGCUAGUUCUUAGGUUUCUAAGAGUGAA